AUAUAUAUAAUUAAAUAUUCCCAUAAAUAUCUAAUUAAACCAACCAAUAACAUAAUAAUUAAACCGCAAGUCAGAAAUACUAUUUUAUGAAUAAAUAAAUAAUUCGAUCAACAAAACCAAGAAUAACUGACAAUCCUAACCGGGUUCCAAUAAACAAAAACACCAAACAUAAAACAAACGAGUUCCUAGAUCAUCCUCUCUUCCUUGCCAUGAUUCCACAAUCACACUUUAUCUUUACCUGCAUCAACAACACAAUGAGAUGCGUAAGUAUUAUCAUAAAUACUUAGUGAGGCGAUCCUCCCAUCUACGAGCUAUACACACAAGCAAAUAAAAAGGUAUAAUCACGAAUACAAUACAAACAAACCAGUCAUUGAACAAUUCACCCAAAACACAUUCACCACACCUACAUAUCAUCACACAACCCAAUCGCUCAGAUAAGCUCAUAGUCACGCACUCACCUUAACAAAUUGAUUCUAAUAG
RNAcentral lists this small RNA (480 nucleotides) under Arabidopsis thaliana (thale cress). Its description in RNAcentral is "ATSL093620". Lineage: Eukaryota; Viridiplantae; Streptophyta; Magnoliopsida; Brassicales; Brassicaceae. The record is from RNAcentral.